This 118-nucleotide small RNA is filed under the name Marmota monax (woodchuck). Lineage: Eukaryota; Metazoa; Chordata; Mammalia; Rodentia; Sciuridae. The record is from RNAcentral.
GCCGGGCGCAGUGGUGCAUGCCUGUAAUCCCAGCAGCUCAGGAGGCUGAGGCAGGAGGAUCAUGAGUUCAAAGCUAGCCUCAGCAAAAGCGAAGUAACUCACUGAGACUCUGUCUGUA